UCACCCACAGCUACCAUGACUUUGAUCCCCGUCUUCAUCUGGACACUGAUCCUCUGGACUCAAGGGUGCAGAGGUCAAGUCACAGUAACUCAGACUCCUGCAGUGAAAUCUGCUCGUCCAGGAGAAACAGUCACCAUCGCCUGUAGAACCAGUCAGGCAGUGUAUAGCAAUAACCGCUUACACUGGUAUCAGCAGAAACCUGGAGAAGCUCCUAAACUCCUGAUCAAAUUUGCCAAUCAGCUACAGUCAGGUUUUCCAGCUCGUUUCAGUGGCAGUGGAUCUGGAUCUGAUUUCACUCUGACCAUCAGUGGAGUCCAGACUGAAGAUGCAGCAGAUUACUACUGUCAGAGUGCACAUUCCAUCAGUAGCAACUGGCUGUUCACACAGUGUUAUAGAGUCGUACAAAAACCUCCCUCAGUCAGAUUGUAGAGAGACUGCACUGCUGCAGCUGGGAGCGACUGCAGGUGCUGAGUUGGAGGAUGUGAUACGACACAAUGACACUCUGUGGAGGAGAGGAACAACACCACACCAACUCACAACUCACAUUAGAAAUUUCUCAAUAAUUAUAACACCACACUGCACUCACUCCACCCCAUGGACACUACUGUAAAAUUAAUACUUCUGUUGAUUUAUAAAUGUUUUUGCUCCUUUUUCUCAUGACUGGAACUGUUUGGUGGAUAAUCUUCUGUUUUGUUUAGUCUCUAUCACUCAUCCUACCCAUAUUACAGUUUAAGAUUCUGAACUAAUGUCAGUCAACAUUAAUAAUUUGCUCCUAGAUUUAGUUGUUUUUUUCUUGUUUCCCUUUCAGGACACACUUCAGCCCUGCUCUGGAUUCUCCCUCAGUCACUGGUGUAACUCCUCCUGUCCUCACAGACUCUCUUUUAACAUUUGGAAAUUAAACUGGUGUUCCGUCUCUCCACUUCCUGAUAAGAUUGAGACCUGCUUUACUCCACAGUCUUGUGUCACCAUAUUUUCUCUUACUUUCCUGCUUUUUCUGCAUUUUCUCAUACAGAUCUUGUACUGUCUUAUUUUAACAUUUCUUUCAGAUCUAAUAUAAAAUUCAAAUUAUUACCCAUAAAUCAUUGUUUUUAGCUCUGAGAUCUCAUUUUCUCUUUUUUUUUUACCCCCUUCAGUCAAGCCUCCAGUCCUCCUGACUCCCCUCUCUCUCUCUCUCUCUCUCUCUUGAACUCCAAUAUCCUGAGAUUUAACAACUCUCCUUUAAAACACAAUAAUGUAAACCUUUUGGAGCUGACCAUUCAUACUUCGCCAACAUGAGACAUCAGUGUUAUCCCACUUCACUUUUCACAGCAUUAAUUAGUAUUCUGCACUCUUCUUCUCACUGCUCUUCCUAUGAGUAACUCUAACUCUAACUCUCCCUGACUCCCUCAAUCCUCCUCUCCUUCUUUUCUUUCUUUGUGGCUUUCAGUAUCCAAUGUUUCUAUGUGAAUCUUAGUAUGUUUUCGCAGCUCUUCAGCUAAAACUAAAUUACAGCAUGUCUGAGUUGCUGUACAUCACUAAAGAUGCAUCACUAUGAUGUAUUUUGUGAUUGUUAGGAGAAUUAUUGUGUAACAACAUCUGGCAGGACAAUCAAACGUUAAGUAGUUUUACAAAACUAGCUAUCUUUCUCUCCUGAUGCUCACUCACUCACUCCCUCGUGUGGUGAGAAGGAGCUUCGUACUUCCUUCCAGGUUUCCAGCUAUGCACCUGAGAUUAAUUAUUGGGUGUAGUUUAGGAGAGUAUAAAAGGGUGCGGCAAGAUCAACCAGGUGUGGCGCUAAUUCACCCCCAGGUGGCGCUUCCGGAAGUGUGUCGUCUAGUUCCGGUGUACGGGAGGUAUGUUUGGCAUGCUGGAUUUUCGGCUAUUUGUCAAUGUUAGCAUCUUGCUAAUAGUGAUUUUCUUUUGGAAAGCCGGCGAUUUUUCGGAUAUUUAUUGUGUCCGAGGCAGUGGAGGAGCAGCGUAUUGCUGUCUAGGUGUAUUUACCCUUUCAAAAAGAGCGGUGCAAUUUGUGCGCGUGUACUGCAGGAGACGAAUGCUACCGUAUCGUUGGUAUGCCGAUUUAUUUUCUCUUUGUAUAGUAGGCUUAAGAUCCUUAGGCAUAUGAUGUGACCUGUAUAUCUGUCCUAUGUUUUCGAUCUGUUGAAGGAGUGGCCGCCAGAUGGAU
Clarias gariepinus (North African catfish) is the source of this 2161-nucleotide non-coding RNA. NCBI's taxonomy places the organism in Eukaryota, Metazoa, Chordata, Actinopteri, Siluriformes, Clariidae. The record is from the annotation of a RefSeq genome assembly.